GGGGUGUGUGUUCACCGGCAUCGACGCUUUGCUCCGACCCAAGCCCUUAUUGACGCAAUGACCCAAGCUCAAGCGGGCUUGAUCAAGUUCAACAGAGAGAAAGACGCACUGACUUUAGCCCUCGGGAAUGAUGAACACGGAGGACGUGUACGAGGCAAAGGCAAAGUUUCGUGGAAAGUAGGGUUUUCCCAAGACAAUGACCCGUACGGUUACAGAAGCCGUAAGAGAAAGACGGACCGGGAUGCAGAUCUUAUGACAAAGUUUGCAUCGGAACUCCAUGAGUUGAAGCAGAGCGUGCAUGAACUAUUGAAAGAAAAAUCGGCUGCAGGGCCGCAUGAAGAUCAUGAAGCGGAUUGCGGAAGCCAGCAGCGGAGAAGCAGCGUGGCUUCCACGGAUGCC
This 399-nucleotide ribosomal RNA is filed under the name Triticum aestivum (bread wheat). RNAcentral's name for it is "partial small subunit ribosomal RNA". The record is from RNAcentral. Lineage: Eukaryota; Viridiplantae; Streptophyta; Magnoliopsida; Poales; Poaceae.